GACGAACGCUGGCGGCGUGCUUAACACAUGCAAGUCGAACGAAGUGGCGAACGGGUGAGUAAUACGUGGGUAACCUGCCCUCCUUUUUGGGAUAAGCCUUGGAAACGGGGUCUAAUACCGACUAACGGGGGUUGGGCUCGUGGCCUAUCAGCUUGUUGGGGGGGUGAUUGCCUACCAAGGCGGUGACGGGUAGGCGGGCUGAGAGGGUGACCGGCCACAUUGGGACGGAGGAUCCUCCCAGACUCGUAAGGGGGGCAGCAGUGGGGGAUAUUGCCCAAUGGGCGAAAGCCUGAUGCCGCGACGCCGCGUGGGGGAUGAAGGCUUUCGGGUUGUAAACCUCUUUCGCUAUGGAACGGGUAGGUGGAGAAGAAGCGCCGGCUAACUACGUGCCAGCAGCCGCGGUAAUAC
RNAcentral lists this ribosomal RNA (408 nucleotides) under uncultured bacterium. RNAcentral's name for it is "partial 16S ribosomal RNA". It matches the Rfam family "Bacterial small subunit ribosomal RNA", at positions 28 to 526 of the family's 1533-position model. The record is from RNAcentral.